ACGUACGCUGGCGGCGUGCUUAACACAUGCAAGUCGAACGGAAAGGCCCCUUUGGGGGUACUCGAGUGGCGACCGGGUGAGUAACACGUGAGUAACCUGCCCUUGACUUCGGGAUAACUUCAGGAAACUGGGGCUAAUACCGGAUAGGAAUCCUUGCUGCAUGGUGGGGGUUGGAAAGCUUCGGCGGUUUUGGAUGGACUCGCGGCUUAUCAGCUUGUUGGUGGGGUAGUGGCUUACCAAGGCUUUGACGGGUAGCCGGCCUGAGAGGGCGACCGGCCACAUUGGGACUGAGAUACGGCCCAGACUCCUACGGGAGGCAGCAGUGGGGAAUAUUGCACAAUGGGCGGAAGCCUGAUGCAGCAACGCCGCGUGCGGGAUGACGGCCUUCGGGUUGUAAACCGCUUUCAGCAGGGGCGAAGCUUGUGGUGACGGUACCUGCAGAAGAAGCACCGGCUAACUACGUG
Molecule: ribosomal RNA, 464 nt
Filed under: uncultured bacterium
Lineage: Bacteria
Description: partial 16S ribosomal RNA
Rfam family: Bacterial small subunit ribosomal RNA
Source: RNAcentral